Molecule: ribosomal RNA, 234 nt
Filed under: Triticum aestivum (bread wheat)
Lineage: Eukaryota; Viridiplantae; Streptophyta; Magnoliopsida; Poales; Poaceae
Description: partial small subunit ribosomal RNA
Source: RNAcentral
AUGCACAAUUGUUCCGUAGGUAUGUUCGGGAUGGCGGAGAAGGAGAUGGAGUACCGGGUCGAGCUUUUCAACCGGCUUACACAUGUUUGUUUUGAGAAGUGCAUUGAGAAAAGGCAUAAAGAAGGUGAACUCAAUAUGGGAGAGAACAGUUGCAUUGAUCGGUGUGUUUCAAAGUACUGGCAGGUGACUAACAUUGUCGGCGGAAUGCUCGGGACUCAGCAGACCCCGAUGUGA